Molecule: ribosomal RNA, 492 nt
Filed under: uncultured bacterium
Lineage: Bacteria
Description: partial 16S ribosomal RNA
Rfam family: Bacterial small subunit ribosomal RNA
Source: RNAcentral
AGUGAACGCUGGCGGUAGGCCUAACACAUGCAAGUCGAACGGCAGCACAGUAAGAGCUUGCUCUUACGGGUGGCGAGUGGCGGACGGGUGAGGAAUACAUCGGAAUCUACUUUUUCGUGGGGGAUAACGUAGGGAAACUUACGCUAAUACCGCAUACGACCUACGGGUGAAAGCAGGGGAUCUUCGGACCUUGCGCGAUUGAAUGAGCCGAUGUCGGAUUAGCUAGUUGGCGGGGUAAAGGCCCACCAAGGCGACGAUCCGUAGCUGGUCUGAGAGGAUGAGAGGCCGGAGUGGAAAUGAGACACGGUCCGGACUCAGGCGGGAGGCCGCAGGGGGGAAUAUUGGAGAAGGGGGGCAACCUUGAUGCAUCCAUGCCGCGUGAGUGAAGACGGCUUUUUGGUUGUAAAGCACUUUAAGGAGGGAGGAGAGACUAAUGGUUAAUACCCACUAGAUUAGACGUUAGCUGCAGAAUAAGCACCGGCUAACUCUGUG